AAGAUCUAGAGCUGAUUUGCAACCCGCCGAAGCAGAUCUGGAGAAGAAGGAAAAUGUCUCCUGUCUCCACACGCACCGUUCUAGGAUCAGCUGGCCGUUAGGAAAACGCAAACAGCAAAGUGGUGAGUCGGAAAACCCUCACUAGUUGCACUGCAGUGAAGGUUAGCGCGAAAAUGUUGUGCAACCAGUUCUGAGUGUGUUGUAUCAUAAUUUCGUUUGGGCCUUAUGAAAGGCGCUACCUUCCCCCUUUGAGGCCUAGCCAGCCCUGUUUAGGUUUAGACGAAAAUAGCGAAUAUUAACGGUUUACUUUUCACUAAACAGAAUUGCGACUGUGGUUCAGGUAACUUGCAACGGUAGCAGUUACUGUGUACUUCUAACAAACUUUAUUGGGCCCAAUCUAUCAUCUGAGUAGCUAGCUACAUGCUUUUAAUGAAUGCACUGUGUUGGAUUUACAUAGGAAGCAGGUGUCCUUGCCAAAUAGAAGAUACCUAGCUUGCUAGCGACGUCCGGCCCGGAGCGCCUCCGGUGUGCGCGUGGGUGACCAACAGAGGGCGAGUUAGAAUGUGACGUCAAAACUCCUAAUGUUGUUUUUUGCAUGACGACAAAGCGUUCUUAUUACGAGCCCACAAUAUGUCAUACAAAUGUUAUAGACAUUCAUUAUUUACCAGAAUAGAAUCUUAAAUAUAAGUAAUAUACAUUGCUGAAUUGGAGAGGGUGGGAAAGAGGAUAAAUAUCUGCGACUGGUGGGAAUUAUUUAUUUAAUUGGUAGUCGAGUACCUCAACUCCAUGAUGAUUCACGAGUUGGGCACAGACUAGAGUUUUAGAAACGAACCUCCGGCUCGCUAUGCAGUCGAUACCUCGAAAGUGAAAAUUCUCAAACCCUUGUUAUGUACCUAUGUUUCUCAUCUGCGUGCCUUUGUUUGCUGAAGUCCAUGCUUUUUAAUAAAACGUUAUUCAAAAACAACCACCGACUGUUUUCUCAUUGCUGUUCCUCUAAGAGGGUAACUCGCCAAUUGAAAAUCAACAAGGAAACAGUCGGUCGUUGUAUUUUAUUAACGUUUUAUUCAAAUGUAUGGAUUUCAGCAAACAAAAAAUGGCGGGCUAAUGUAAGGGUUUAAGAAUUCACAUUUUUGAAGCAUCGACUGCAUAGCGACUCGAUGAGAUAAGAGAUUCAUAAAAACAACAACCCUAGUCUGGAUGUGAGGUACUUGGGGAAUCUAAUUAGGAAAUCACAGAUAUUUUUUUAUUAUUGUAAUGGCUUAUUAAUGAUGACUAUUACUCUGUAGACUAAAGUUUGAUGUCUGUUUUUUUCUGUCCUACAGACUUUACCCAUAACUGACCUUAGAGCAGUGUGUAAGCUCAUUCUCAUCCUACCCCGGACGUUGCAAACAAAUAUAGAAAGGUUCAGGAGAAACUCUUCCUCACUCCAAAACAGUCACCCAGGAAUUGAAGAGGAAGUGACAUCAGAGCAGAUGGAAUCAAAUCAGAGCCUGGCGGGGGUGGACUCCCAGGGCAACAUGGUGUUCAGAGUGGUUAAACCUGUCAUGGGCAUCUUCCAAGUCUCCUCAGAACAGACCAACUCUGUCGGACAGGGGGGGUCGCAGCAGAUGAUGGUUGGGGGGCUGACGGGGUUACAAGGGUUAUCCAACCUCCCCUCCAUGGUGCUGGGGGAUGGACAGGGUCAGGGCCAGCAGCAAAUGGGGGACGUGAACCAGAUGCAAGCCCAGAUUCAGAUCCCAGCAGAGGACAUGUCCCAAACCCAGGUUGCCGCUCCGAACCACAACCACGUACCCCAUGUUCCGUUUGCAGAGGUGUCGUCUCUCUUGGACCCCAACAUGAAGAGUUCCAAGGCCCGCAAGUACCUGAUACCCUAUGACGAGAUCAAGCGUCGUCUGGAGGCUCCAGAGAAGAUGUCUCUGCGUUCACUAGCAGCCUACACCAGGGUCAGCCGUGGCCCGGCCAGCAAGAAAACCCUGCAGGAGUCUCUAAAUAUACUGGGUCUUACUCCUGGUACUACUACUUCUGUGUCUUCUUCCUUUUCCAAGCUCACAGAGGGUGACACCAAAGCCCUGUGUAACGACAUGAAGGACUUUGCCCAUGACUACAUAGACUUUGGCAACAUGGCCAAGCAGCUUAUUCCAGAGACCAACACUGUCCAACACUGGUCCAAGGUCAUAGAAACCAGGAGCCACCUGGAGGCGAUGAGGAAGUGUUUUCGUGACCCGGUCAACAGUGCGUCGUUCGACAACGUGACUCAUGGGUUGGGCCUCGGGAUGCUCGACGCCGCCCUCGACAUGAUUACCAUGGUGAUCGACAAACAAAUUCGCAUCCUGUCUGGCGCUGCGGCAACCGAUCCCGUCGACACCGGCCCUCCAAUGAGACGCAUCCGCCGCCGCCACCGCAAGCCCCGAGACAACGGCAACGACAAAUUGCACGGGUCGCUGGGCGGGGUUAAAGGUCAAGAGAAAGGGCCAGGGAAGGGCAAAGGGAGGGGCAGAGGCAGGAAGAAGAUGCGGCUGCAGGAGUCUGGAGCUCCGGUUGGUGUUGCCAUGGAUACAACCCAGCAGCAUGAUCAAGAGCAUUGUCAGCCGGAGGAUGUGGAGAGCAGUGUUCUCACACUCGUCUCUGUUGGUUACGAGACCAUCUCCAGCGGCCUCAAUGCCACAGGACAGAUCUGAAGAUGUUUAACGGUUGAACAAACAAUGCUUAACAGGGGAAUCGGACUUUGCUUAAUAUUUUCCCAUGGGGAAGCUGGGAGCGGAACUGUCUUAGUAACUUUGUGGAACAUUGUGGAACGUUGUGAUGUUUAGACGCAACUCUGCUUUGGCCCACAGAACCCCAAACACUGAGAGGGAGGCAUUCAGUGACCUCACAGCAUUCUGGUUUAGAGUUUUGUUUUUGAAUGUUGCAGCUCUUGCCUACUGAUAAAUUCAAUCAAUUGAAUUUAGUUUUUUGUUGUCAGUUAGCACAGAGGUGAAGAACGCAGCUCUGUUCAAGUGGAAUUCAAGUCAAUCCAAAGAUAACCUGAUUAUAUUGAAAAACCUACAAUGUAGAAAUGAGUCUUAAUUCUGGUCUUUGGGUUAAGGCAGUCCAUUCAUUCCACCUACUCAUCUGGUAUUUGAUAGCCCCGUUUAUUUAUAUCAUGAGUGGACUAGUUAUAGCCCUCUCUCAAUCUCCAUGAUUGUAACAUAGGGAACACAUCAUGCCAGUACUUUGUCAAUGAUUGUAUGUUUAUAUUGAAACCUGGAUUGCUGAAAUAUUGUAUUAAAGCUUUCAUUUUAUUAAUUCACCUCCAUGAUGUUCUUUAUUUCUGACAGAAUCAAUGGCACAGCAUCUGAUCUGUUUCACUGAGGGAGUUUGACUAAGCUGAACCGGGGUGGCCUGUGACGUGACCGGGAAAAAGCGAUAAAUUGAAUAGUAAUCUGUGCCGCCCGGUCAACAAGGCAGCAUCAUUCAGAAACAUGGUGCAUCUUUUCAAAUUCAUUUUCUUUGAGAAGGCAGAUAAAGUACAUCAUGUGUUUUAUCACGAGAGCAAAAAUGUUUUUCACGUGAUACCUUGGAACCUUCAUAACUGCACGUGCUUGACAUACGGGCCAGCCGGUGUUAUGAUACUGGUGGAUUGUACGGUUGUGGCUACCAGUACUGCUCCAUCUUGGGGCGGCAGGGUAGCCUAGUGGUUAGAGGGUUGGACUAGUAACCGAAAGGUUGCAAGUUCGGAUCCCCGAGCUGACAAGGUACAAAUCUGUCAUUCUGCCCCUGAACAGGCAGUUAACCCACUGUUCCUAGGCUGUCAUGGGAAAUAAGAAUUUGUUCUUAACUGACUUGCCUAG
Long non-coding RNA from Oncorhynchus tshawytscha (Chinook salmon), 3830 nucleotides. The record is from Ensembl. NCBI's taxonomy places the organism in Eukaryota, Metazoa, Chordata, Actinopteri, Salmoniformes, Salmonidae.